Molecule: long non-coding RNA, 393 nt
Filed under: Actinidia chinensis (golden kiwifruit)
Lineage: Eukaryota; Viridiplantae; Streptophyta; Magnoliopsida; Ericales; Actinidiaceae
Description: long non-coding RNA (ACHI_LNC000699)
Source: RNAcentral
CCUGGUUGUUCAGAAAGAGAAAAGGAGAGAAGGGGUUGAUUUUGAACUUAGUUUCUUUUGAUUUAGACAAAAUUAAAAAUCCCUGACCUGUUAAUAAGUUUUUUCUAAACCCUAAGGCCCUAUGGCUUCUGCUGUCGUGGCUUCUAUUAUGAAGGGCCACCAACUCUCAUUUUUAGCCCAAAGUUGUGUUGCUAUUGCGCCUGCAUUUCCAUGUACUCAGAAGACUGUCUUAUAUCAACGAAUGUAACACGAUGGCUUUACUUGAAACACGUUCCCAUUCCAAUAACAGAGUCAUGCUCAUGACUAACAUGGCUCAUGCACUUAGUCGAUCCAUUUCAACCAAAUCAUUAAACUGAAGUCGGGGAAUAGAACGACGUAACAAAACACAUUCUA